This 1468-nucleotide long non-coding RNA is filed under the name Nicotiana tabacum (common tobacco). RNAcentral's name for it is "long non-coding RNA (NTAB_LNC004799)". The record is from RNAcentral. Lineage: Eukaryota; Viridiplantae; Streptophyta; Magnoliopsida; Solanales; Solanaceae.
AAGUACAAUUUAUUAGUAAAAUUAAGAGUCAAAAGUGAAAUAACUAAACCUUAUAUAACUCCCAAGGACUGGUAGUACAAGUUAUAAGCUACUAAGACUUAGAUUUUACAAAAGAAAAACUGAACUGAAAUAAUUACAACAUCUGUUUGGAUUGUAAAUGAAUAAGAUUGGAAUCAAAUGCUACCACGCACAAGUGAUAGCCAUAACUGGAACGCAUGUACAUCUUCAACGCCAGCUUCCACCAUGCACAGCAAUAACAACUCCAAAAUCUGCACGCAAGGUGCAGAAGUAUAGUAUAAGUACAACCGACCCCAUAUACUCAAUAAGUAUCCUAACUAAACUCGGCGAGGUAUAAGAAGUAAGAACUAUAAAUGAUACUCACCAACACCUGUACAGUUCAUAAUUUCAACAAGUAUAAAAUAGAUAUGUAAUCAAAUUAGGAAAUUCAGGUAAAACCACUUUGAUACUAAUAAUUCUUUGUCUUAAAGUGUUCUGCUCAGUCAGCAAUCCAGCAUAUAAAGAAGAUAUACAAGUAACUCAGGUAAGCAGUCGAGGAAGUUGCAAGUAAAGAAGAAAUGCAAUAACCAAAUAUCAGUCUGUUGCGGCGCGCAACCCGAUCCAAUAACAAUAACCAGCUCUCCUAGAGCUCACAUCAACCAAAAACCCACCGGUUUCUCACAAUCCGCCUGUACACCAUCAAGAGAGAAACAUAAGACGAUGACCCUAGGGGGAUGGAUCUGUAUCUACACGCUGCACGAAAAACUCACGUGCUAAUAAUAUCAACUGCACGGAUAACUCACGUGCUAUAAUAUCAAUAUCUGGAUCCGCACGAAUAACUCACGUGCUAAUAUCACAAUCCGCCCGGCAUGGUCACAAGCACAAUAUCAUAAUCCGUCCGGCAUGGUCACAUGCAUAACAACACAAUCUGCCCGGCGUGGUCACACGCAUCCAGUACAAAUCAUAUCACACAGAAGCAAGUAUACAAGAACACAUGUAUAUGAUGGAUAAAUAUCAGAUUUCAUGCUCCUAGACUGGUAUAAUUACAUGCUAAAGUGUAGGCAUGUGCAAUGUGUGUUAUCAUAGCUCAAAUUGACAAUUUAUCAUAGAAUUAGAAAUUACCAAGUUUAUUCAGUGAAUUAGCCUCUUCGUAACUUCAAACAUGGCUCAAAUAGUUCAUAACAAUGAUACAAAUAUGAGAAAUAUUAUUUCUUAAAGCAUAACUGUCAACUCUAGGCAUAUCAUAGCCUAAGCACUACCCCGAGCAUGGAUAAAUACCUCAGUGCUCCUACAUGGCUAAAACCCCUCACAUAUGGGCACCCAUAACACAUAGCUUUCACAAAUAAUUCAAGUAACUAGUGCUUCAACCAAAUUUAGAUAAGAUACUUACCUCAAACAAGCCAAAUCCAAUAUGGAACAAGCCAACCAAAACUCUACAAAUGCCAUCUCGCACGUACCGACCUUCGAACGG